GGGAGUGUGGUGAAAGUGGCAAACAUAUCUGAUUUAGGAUCAGAGAUUUAUAGGUUCAAGUCCUAUCACUUCUA
This 74-nucleotide transfer RNA is filed under the name Chondrilla aff. nucula CHOND. Its description in RNAcentral is "tRNA-Leu". It matches the Rfam family "tRNA". From Rfam's summary of the family: Transfer RNA (tRNA) molecules are approximately 80 nucleotides in length. Their secondary structure includes four short double-helical elements and three loops (D, anti-codon, and T loops). Lineage: Eukaryota; Metazoa; Porifera; Demospongiae; Chondrillida; Chondrillidae. The record is from RNAcentral.